CGAUACUCUUUAGCUUGCUAAGGAGGAAAGUGGCGCACGGGUGCGUAACGCGUAUGCAACCUACCUUAAUCAGGGGGAUAGCCCGAAGAAAUUCGGAUUAACACCGCAUAAAAUCACAGUACAGCAUUGUACAAUGAUCAAAUAUUUAUAGGAUUAAGAUGGGCAUGCGUGACAUUAGUUAGUUGGCGGGGUAACGGCCCACCAAGACCACGAUGUCUAGGGGAUCUGAGAGGAUGACCCCCCACACUGGUACUGAGACACGGACCAGACUCCUACGGGAGGCAGCAGUAAGGAAUAUUGGUCAAUGGAGGCAACUCUGAACCAGCCAUGCCGCGUGCAGGAAGACAGCCCUCUGGGUCGUAAACUGCUUUUAUUCGGGAAUAAACCUACUUACGUGUAAGUAGCUGAAUGUACCGAAGGAAUAAGGAUCGGCUAACUCCGUGCCAGCAGCCGCGGUAAUACGGAGGAUCCAAGCGUUAUCCGGAUUUAUUGGGUUUAAAGGGUGCGUAGGCGGCUUUUUAAGUCAGGGGUGAAAGACGGUGGCUCAACCAUCGCAGUGCCCUUGAUACUGAAGAGCUUGAAUGAAUUAGAGGUAGGCGGAAUGUGACAAGUAGCGGUGAAAUGCAUAGAUAUGUCACAGAACACCGAUUGCGAAGGCAGCUUACUAUGAUUUUAUUGACGCUGAGGCACGAAAGCGUGGGGAUCAAACAGGAUUAGAUACCCUGGUAGUCCACGCCCUAAACGAUGAAUACUCGCUGUUAGCGAUACACAGUUAGCGGCUAAGCGAAAGCGUUAAGUAUUCCACCUGGGGAGUACGGUCGCAAGAUUGAAACUCAAAGGAAUUGACGGGGGCCCGCACAAGCGGAGGAGCAUGUGGUUUAAUUCGAUGAUACGCGAGGAACCUUACCCGGGCUUGAAAGUUAGUGAAUCAUUUAGAGAUAGAUGAGUCCGCAAGGACACGAAACUAGGUGCUGCAUGGCUGUCGUCAGCUCGUGCCGUGAGGUGUUGGGUUAAGUCCC
RNAcentral lists this ribosomal RNA (1019 nucleotides) under Pedobacter cryoconitis. RNAcentral describes it as "bacterial SSU rRNA". It matches the Rfam family "Bacterial small subunit ribosomal RNA", at positions 67 to 1088 of the family's 1533-position model. The record is from RNAcentral. Lineage: Bacteria; Pseudomonadati; Bacteroidota; Sphingobacteriia; Sphingobacteriales; Sphingobacteriaceae.